UACCGUAUAGGUAUUGUCGGUGAAAAGGGAACCCGGUGGGAAUCCGGGACGAUACCAGUCGCUGUGUGCGCUAAAGGAACGCGUUUCGUCGACGAAAGCCGGUCAUUGGGAAACUGAGAAGGCAGAGACGCGCUUCGCCGGAGCUUUGCCGUUUUAAAAGGCAGCUUUCCGAUAUGGCGCAAAGUCAAAAGACCUGCUUUGGCG
This 204-nucleotide non-coding RNA is filed under the name human gut metagenome. The record is from RNAcentral.